Molecule: non-coding RNA, 1148 nt
Organism: Pantherophis guttatus
Lineage: Eukaryota; Metazoa; Chordata; Lepidosauria; Squamata; Colubridae
Source: RefSeq, a predicted model, not a curated record
CUGGCUCCCUCUUUUGAAGUCUUAAGUAUCAGAUAAUUGGGGGGGGGAAUUUAACUUCGCUAGGGUCAUUACUGUGAUGAUUACCUGCAAAGGCUUUCAAUAAAUUGCAAUAAACCCUGGCUUGUCGCUCCCAGCACAGAGAAGCCAGCUGGCGGCUGAGGGCCCCGUCUGCAGCUCCCCUUUGGAGAGGGGCCUCCUCACAAGCAGCACUGGGGACUCUGCCCAUCAAAGACCCCAUCCGACUCGGCCAAAUAUUUCAGAUUUUUCAUUGUGCGUUUGCAGGUGGGCCUAUCACAAUCUUUGCAUCUCCUGAUCAACAAGUGUUUUUAAGAAAAAUAUGCCAAGUGAUUGUCCUUUACAGAAACAUGUUUUGCUAUGAGAAAAGCCUCCCUAACCAAUCUGAUUUGCAAACCCUCCACAGGACUCUCCAAUUAGGAAUGGAAAAGGCCACAAACAGCCGGCCAUUAGCAGCAGCAGCAGCACCACCACCACCACUCUAAUAGCCUGGCUCUGCAGAUUUUCUUUCCCCUAAAAGACUGUUCAAUUACAGGCUUUGGGUGCACUGGAACCAAAGGGAAAAAGGAUGCCAGAUGUUCUUCAGAUGUCACGCUCACACACCGGCACCAUCGAAACGGCUUCUUUGGGGCCUCCAGGGAGGGAGACAAACCAGGGUCUAGUGAGACGGGAGCCUUCCCUGGUUCCUACCGAGCCUCCUCCAGCAACCGGGGCCUCCGAACUGAAGCCACCCUGAAGGACCCAGAACUGCCCUAAUCUUCGUAUCAUCUGAAGGUCACAACUGCUGAGAAUCCAUCCCUCCCUCCCAGUGAUGACCUUUCUCCAGCUGGAGGCCACCAAGAGGAACAGGCACUUUCCCCGUUUUAUUUCCCCAGAGCGAUGACACCCCCACCACCUCCGCAACCCUCCUGCAAUCGGGGUCCCAAAUGUGCCAAAGCACAGAGAACAUAAAAGGCUGGAAAGCCAAAGGGUGUGUGUGAGGCCUCGGCCCCCCACUCCCUUCUCUCCCCACCCCAGACUGAAAACUCCAGCAACGAUGCCAAAAGCAACUCUGCUCCAUCGUCCCCAACCUUCCCUCCAUCCAUUGUGCAGAAUUUAAAAAACGGAUCUAGAUAUUUUGCAGAGUGACCCGA